UACGUAGGGCGCAAGCGUUGUCCGGAAUUACUGGGCGUAAAGCGUGCGUAGGCGGUUCGUUAAGUCUGUCGUGAAAGCCCUGGGCUCAACCUGGGAAUGGCGAUGGAUACUGGCGAGCUAGAGUGUGAUAGAGGAUGGCGGAAUUCCCGGUGUAGCGGUGAAAUGCGUAGAUAUCUGGAGGAACACCGGUGGCGAAGGCGGCAUCCUGGACCGAUAUUGACGCUGAUGCGCGAAAGCCAGGGGAGCAAACGGG
This 253-nucleotide ribosomal RNA is filed under the name uncultured bacterium. RNAcentral describes it as "partial 16S ribosomal RNA". It matches the Rfam family "Bacterial small subunit ribosomal RNA", at positions 524 to 776 of the family's 1533-position model. The record is from RNAcentral.